RNAcentral lists this long non-coding RNA (6308 nucleotides) under Fragaria vesca (wild strawberry). RNAcentral describes it as "long non-coding RNA (FVES_LNC001869)". Lineage: Eukaryota; Viridiplantae; Streptophyta; Magnoliopsida; Rosales; Rosaceae. The record is from RNAcentral.
UUGAUAUCUUUGUCUCUGAGUUAAAACUGUGUUUUACUUUUGCUGCAUAUUGUGUAUGUAUGAUCAUAUGAUCUAAAGUUUCUCUCUUACUUGCAUUCAGGUUGCAUUAAAUUUUGAUGACGCUGUGAGUGAUCCAAGUGGUAGUUGAUGAUUGUGUUGGAGAAUCAAGCAAGGCCUGGUUGUGUGAAGAACCUGUGUGAUGGCCAUGAGUGAAAUAAAACUCUAGAUUGUGUGAAAGAAUCUGAGUUGUCAUUACUGAUAGUUUAGAUAUAUCAGUAGGAGAAGUUGUUCAGUUGUUCUUGUGUAGAACUAAUUGAUUAACAGAUCAUGAGUGUGUAGAUAGAAAGGUGUGAAAACUAGAAUGACUAGUUCCUUGUGUAGUUGUGUUGUAGAACUAACUAUCUUUGUAUACUCAAAUUGAAGAUUAGUGAAAUAAUCUUAUCUGGUGCUUUUUCCCUCUUUGAGGUUUUGCAUCAGAUUUUUGAUAUCACUCUUGUUGUGUUCAUUGACAAAUCUACAGCAUUUCUAUAUCUUUAUUUUGUACCAGAGCAGGUGCUAGAAGGUGUCUAGUAGAUCCACACAAAAUGGAAAGAAAUGCAGUAAAUCAGCCACCAAAAUUUGAUGGUGAUGACUUUCCCUAAUGGAAGAUCAUGAUGACAACGUUUAUCUAUACACUUGAUGUAAAAGCAUGGAGAGUCAUGCAGACUGGUUACAAACAUCUUGUCAUAAAAUCUGAAACUACUUUUGAAUCUGAAUCUCAAUUAAUGAAUUAUCUUUGUAUAAUGCAGAUUAUGUCUCAAGAAAUGCCUUCUUCACUGCUCUUAGAGCUAAGGAAAGAAGGCGUAUACAAUACUGUGAAACUGCAAAAGAAGCGUGGGAUAUGUUGGUUACAUCUCAUGAGGGAUGUGAGACAGUCAAGAUUCAGAAACUUCAAAUUCUUGCUGAGGAGUUUGAAAAUUUGAAAAUGGGUGAGGAUGAUCUACUUGAUGAUUUUUACACAAGAGUAAUUAACAUUACAGGUCAGUGUCAAAGCUUGAAUGAACCCCUUCGAGGAACACAAGGUUGUAAAGAAAUUCCUCAGAGCCUUGCCAAAGAAAUAUCUUCCCAAGAAGGCAACCAUUAUGGAGGUGCACAACUUGAAUAAAUACUCCCUAGAGGAUCUAGUAAGUAAUCUCAAAACCUUUGAAUUAGAGAUGAUAUCUGACAAUGUUUGGCCUGAUAAAAAACAAAAAAGUGUAGCUUUGAAAAGCUCACACAAGAAUGAAUCAGAUGGUGAUAUUGAUACUGUUGAUUUUGUAUAGAGGUUGAUCUUUUAUCUCAAGCCAAAGUAGCUAGGACAUGAGGAGGGGGAACUUCACAUGUUUUACAUGAAAUGGUGGGGAUUUAAGAUCAAACACUUGAGUAUUGAUGUCGUGGGAUGUCUCUUGAAUAUCGAGUCCCCUAAAAUCAACUGAUUUGGGAGUGACUGCAUUUGACUUACUCUAUAAGUGUUCAUAAAUCUAUAUAUAUAGAGAUUUUCUCAACUGCGGACGUCCGCACUGAUUUUUUGGUGCGGAUUUCCAUUUUUGCACCACUUCCCUAUCGAAUUUCCUCAAACUUUCUUCUAGACAUAUCUAGAUCAUCUUGUGUAGAUCAUCUCUGCAAAAUUUCAGCCAAUUUGGUGAUCGUUAAGGCCCUCAAACUUGCGUUACAAANNNNNNNNNNNNNNNNNNNNGAAACUAUGAAAAGCAGUUUCGUUACUUGUCAUGUACAAAGCCAUUCUAUAAUAUAAUCAUGUAUGAUCGAAAGUAAUUAAUAGAAUAACAGACAGCAACCAAAGAGCACCUUACACACAUCAAAGAUUCAUAACAAUAUAUUUCUUAUUACCUGAUCACAAUUAUCGAAGCUCUAGUACCACUUCAAUGUCAAAAUACUUUUACGUAGAAUCCUAGGAUUGGAUGAGACCGAGUUAACAAUCACCCUCGAUCCAAGUACAACUCCAACUCGGGUUCAUCGGCACCCUCCUCAUCAUCAUUAUAAUCAUCUUCGUCAUCGUCUGCCUUCGGAGGAUCAUAUAUAUAAUCAUCGUCAAAUUCAAAUUCAUCCUCUUCGUCUUCCUCAUCACCAUCAUCCUCAUCUUCAUCUUCACCCUUUUCUGGUUUCUUCUUUUCCUUGGCAUCCCUUUCCUGUUCCAUCUUCUCAAUCCGAUCCAAGUACAUCUCUUCCUUCUUCCUGUCCCACUCAACUUUGUCCCUGCUUACCUCCCUCACGGUCGAACCUCUAGUCAGUUCUCUAGGAAACAUACUCGGCACCAAGUACUGUGAGAAAGAGUUGAUUUCUCUGUUACCCUUUCGCCGCUUAUCUUUACCUGCAGUCUGGUCAAGAUAAUACUCUGUCGUCUCCUCCAGCCACCCCAGGCUCUCUUUGAUCAACAACAUCUCUUCCUCGUUGUUUUUCUUCUUAUUGGACAAGGAUGAUAAAACAUGGGAGGCAUCAGGUAGGUUAAUAUCAGGAAACAACACAAAGGGUUCUGCUUUGGUUAUGCACCACGUGAUUCCGAGUUCUUAACAUAAACUAUCUCAUUUGUCCACCAUACUGUCAAAUACAUAUUGAAAACUUUAGUUUGCUUUGCCAAGAUCUUUGCUUCUUCCAUAUAUUGUUUUCUUUCCGCAUUUCUACCCUAACAUAACUGAAGGUAUAGGGUUGCUGGCAAUCCUUAUAUAGAACAAAACACAAUCUAUGUAGCCUAAAGCAAUUGGGAGAUUGGUCUUGCACAUCAGAAGAACAAGUUGAAGAAGUAGAAGAACCAACAUGAUCUCAUGGAACUCANNNNNNNNNNNNNNNNNNNNNNNNNNNNNNNNNNNNNNNNNNNNNNNNNNAGAAAUGCACUGAUAUCACAGGACAAAUUUUCUGAGCAUGGAGAAAUUGAAAAAGUGACAUUGUUUUUUCAAUUACUAUCUCAGAAACCUAUAAUUCCCAUCUUUUGUAUGUCUACUAAGUUAUCUGUUCUAAAAUGACACAAGUGGUUCAACUCUCAGAGGUCUUGGUAUAUAGGUCUUCCUCUGCAAAUACGCAUUGUUCUUAAACUUUUGGUUGCAACACUAACUAACUUCUUCCAUUAUUGAUAUGCUUUGCAAAGCUAUAUGUUGGUGUUUCAAAAUUUUCAAUGUGCAGUUUGAGAUAGGCAAAUUCAAGUUGGUUCAAAUGCUUGGUGUGGUUCUGGGCUUUAUCUUCAGUUUGGACAAAGUGUUAUGUUAUCUUCACAGGCCCAGUAAUUGAACGUUGCUUGCCUUUUCGGUUGCCUCCUAUUCCCUAUAAGUUAGCAUGAUUGUCUAGGUAACUUCUUCACACUUUUUCCUUCACUAGGGUUUUGUGUACUUGUGCAGAUCUCAACUUCCUUGCAGUUAUGGACAAAGGGAAGAAACCAGCUCUUCUAGAAGGAGUCAAUCCCAAAGUUGGCAGGGAAGUUAUUCCUCCAACCUCAGUAGAUUCUCAGUCCUCUCCUCCAGUCUCUCCUAGCUUGCAUCCAUAAUGGCAUCAUGCUCAUACCUUUACAAGAACUUGGUACACAAAGGAAAGCCCUAGCGUCCUAUGUUCCCUCUGGAGAACGACUCAGACCCUGACAAGAUAGUUGUUUAUCUCAACUCCUUGGAGAAGGUUACAAGUGACUGGGCGCAGGACAUACAAACUUAGAUUGGCGCUCUCACUGAAGCAGUGCUGAUUAUGGGAAAGAGGAUCAAUGAACUCACUCAACGUCUUCCUCGAUCUGCAGAUUCAGAUGUUCCCCUGGAUUCCUCCCGAGUCAUCUCCUACUGCACCAUCCUCAAUCAAACAAUCUCUAGAUUUCAUGUAAGAUUCUGCUGCUGAGCCUUGUUCAAAGAAACCCUACAAUCCCUGGGAGCCAAAGGAGAAGAAGGAUCAUGAUAAGGAUUCUUGGAACAACUGGCCAUAGCACCUUUGGCAUGCUAUUCAGGGGGAGUAAAAGAUCAAGCUUUUAGUCUUUGUUUUUUCUUUUUCUUUGAAAACUAUUUGCUUGUCUUGAACAAUUUGUUUGUUGUUGGUUUGUAAGUGCUUAAGCACUAUACUGGUUUGUUUGAUUGUUGGAUUAUUUGUGUUAGUUUUCUAAUAAGUUUAAAAACUCUUGAUGUGUUUUUUAAGAAAUUAUGGAAAGGAUUUUUGAGAAAUUGAAAAAGGAUGGAAACUGAUUCCUAAUAUCUCAAAAAUCUUGUUUUUGUUUUGUCAUUCUUGCAGGUCUUGAUCUUGUGUUUGAAUAGCAAUGCCAAAGGGGGAGAAUAUUGAUAUAUUGGCCAAUUCUAUUCAAACACAAGAAAUCCUUUUGGAGUUAGGAAAGACAAGAAGAUGGUGAUCAUAGCAAAAGAACUUGAAGUCUUGCAUGGUCAACGGCUGUAGUUAGCUAACAUAGAAUCAAAUGUUUGAUUAUGUACAAAGGUAACUGAUCUUUAUCUUAUUUUGGUAAGUUGAUAAUUGGAUGAUGAAUUUGUGGGAUUUUACAUUCAUACUUAUUACCUCCAUGAUCAUUGAUAUUUAUUUCAUGAUUUCCUUAACAAUCGAUAUCUACUCUUUUAUGAGAGAAAUAUUUUUUAGGAAUAUGUUUCUAUUGAUAUGCAAAGUGCUUAAUCAAAGUAAAUGAUAUGAUUGAGAAAUACGAGUGCUAAGUGCAGGUGUUAUGGACAAUACAAUGUGAUUAUUCACUGAUUGUAGUCUAUGAAUUGAAAAGCAUUAGUUAAGGGGGAGAAUUUCAUUCUCUAUAUAUAUAUAGCUCAUGUUAUGCUGUGAAGCGGUGUGCUUGUUGCAGCUGUUGUUUAGACUUUGAUAUCUUAGUCUCUGAGUUAAAACUGUGUUUUACUCUUGCUGCAUAUUGUGUGUGUAUGAUCAUAUGAUCUAAAGUUCUCUCUUACUUGCAUUCAGGUUACACUUAAGUUUGAUGAAGCUGUGAGUGAUCCAAGUGGUAGUUGCUGAUUGUGUUGGAGAAUCAAGCAAGGCCUGGUUAUGUGAAGAACCUGUGUGAUGGCCAUGAGUGAAAUAAAACUCUAGAUUGUGUGAAAGAAUCUGAGUUGUCAUUACUGAUAGUUUAGAUAUAUUAGUAGGAGAAGUUGUUCAGUUGUUCUUGUGUAGAACUAAUUGAUUAACAGAUCAUGAGUGUGUAGAUAGAAGGGUGUGAAAACUAGAUUGAAUAGUUCAUUGUGUAGUUGUGUUGUAGAACUACCUAUCUUUGUAUACUCAAAUUGAAGAUUAGUGAAAUAAUCUUAUCUGGUGCUUUUUCCCUCUUUGAGGUUUUGCAUCAGAUUUUUGAUAUCACUCUUGUUGUGUUCAAUGACAAAUCUACAACAUUUUUAUAUCUUUAUCAUAUAUAACCUUAAACCCUAAAAAACUAAUCUGGAUGUGUGAGAAAAGAAAGCAAAAAAAUGCAAACACAUUUAUGAAAAUUCUAGAGUACCCACCAGUUUUUUACUUUUCUAUACCGUGCUUUUUUUUUUCUUUUUUUUUUACAAACAUAAAGAAAUUUGGUUAAAACUUUUGUAAUAAAUGUUCAUAUGUUAUAAUUACGAAGUGUGAACCAAAUUACAUACUUAUGACCCAUUUUACAAAAUUAGGGACGAAUGUGUUGUCGAAUUGUAAAUUUUCAGAUUUGGACCAAAUAGACCAUUUAUCCUUGUUCACGUAAUAUGGUUCUUGGUUUUGUAAUUGAGUUGUGUUUUUUGUAUUGAGAAAAUAAUUACAUCUUUCACAACUUAAGGACAUUUGGUCGAAAAUUUUGUAAUAAAAUGUUCAUAUAUUGUAAUUACGAGGUCUGGACCAAAAUUACAGAUUUAUGACCCAUUUUAUAAAAUUGAGAACGAAUGUGUUGUUGAGAUGAUAAAUUUUCAGAUUUAGGACGAAUAGACCAUUUGUCCUCGUUCAUGUAAUAUGGUUCUCGAUUUUGUAAUUGAGUGGUGUAUUUUAUAUUGAAAAUAAUAACAUUUUUCACAACGCUUUUACAAACAUAAAGACAUUUGAUUGAAACUUUUGUAAUAAAUGUUCAUAUGUUGUGACACGACCCGCCCCAAAUUUCACUCUGAAACCCAGAGUAAGUCGUGCGGGGACCACCUCCAAGGAAAAUUUACCGAAAAUUCGGCAUAACCUCCCUUGAAAAUGGACAACCCUUCCUAAAACCUGCAAACACUUCUGAAAAUUUAAAUCCAACCUUAAACUCCUGGAGCCUUCGUGCUCCCCAAAUCACAACAUCUCCCAAUUAUUUACUAACUUUAAAAGAAUAAUCUCACAACCAACCAUCACAGUUCAGAGCAAUUCUAAUUGAAAGGAAAUAN